RNAcentral lists this non-coding RNA (69 nucleotides) under Acinetobacter bereziniae. The record is from RNAcentral. Lineage: Bacteria; Pseudomonadati; Pseudomonadota; Gammaproteobacteria; Moraxellales; Moraxellaceae.
AAGCGAAACACAGGCAUAAGUGCCUGUGUCUACCAGUUGUAGUGAACUGGUACUGACGAGCAGCGAUGA